Molecule: ribosomal RNA, 253 nt
Filed under: uncultured bacterium
Lineage: Bacteria
Description: partial 16S ribosomal RNA
Rfam family: Bacterial small subunit ribosomal RNA
Source: RNAcentral
GACGUAGGGGGCCAGCGUUGUUCGGAAUUACUGGGCGUAAAGGGUUCGUAGGCGGUGCGGCAAGUCGGGAGUGAAAUCUCUGGGCUUAACCCAGAGGCUGCUUCCGAAACUGCUGUGCUUGAGUGUGGGAGAGGCGCGUGGAAUUGCAGGUGUAGCGGUGAAAUGCGUAGAUAUCUGCAGGAACACCCGUGGCGAAAGCGGCGCGCUGGACCACUACUGACGCUGAGGAACGAAAGCUAGGGGAGCAAACAGG